Physeter macrocephalus (sperm whale) is the source of this 273-nucleotide long non-coding RNA. RefSeq lists it as uncharacterized. The record is from RefSeq and is a predicted model, not a curated record. The transcript is spliced from 3 exons. NCBI's taxonomy places the organism in Eukaryota, Metazoa, Chordata, Mammalia, Artiodactyla, Physeteridae.
CCCCAGUGACGCGAGCGCAGGAGGGCGCGCCCCGCACCUGUGAGCCGGGGGCCCGAGCGGGGCUGACGGGCAGGGUCGAGGUGGCCAAGAUCCUACCGAGGUGUUAGAUUAACAAAGCGAGGUCACCACGGAACACACCGUAGCCGUUCGUAAGCCACGACCAUGACCUAGACAAGUGCUCGCGAAUGCGGGUCUGAAGCCUUCAAGUGGAUUAUACUGCAUAGAGAGACUUACCGGAGGGCACUGAGCCAGCUUAUCUGCUGCUACCAUCUG